CGGUUUGAUCAUGGCUCAGAUUGAACGCUGGCGGCAUGCUUUACACAUGCAAGUCGAACGGGGUGAGGGGGCAACUUCUCAUUCAGUGGCGAACGGGUGAGUAAUGCAUCGGAACGUGUCCCGUAGUGGGGGAUAACGCCGCGAAAGCGGCGCUAAUACCGCAUACGCUCUACGGAGGAAAGCAGGGGACUCGCAAGGGCCUUGUGCUAGGGGAGCGGCCGAUGUCCGAUUAGCUAGUUGGUGGGGUAAUGGCCCACCAAGGCGACGAUCGGUAGCUGGUCUGAGAGGAUGAUCAGCCACACUGGGACUGAGACACGGCCCAGACUCCUACGGGAGGCAGCAGUGGGGAAUUUUGGACAAUGGGGGCAACCCUGAUCCAGCCAUGCCGCGUGCGGGAAGAAGGCCUUCGGGUUGUAAACCGCUUUUAGCCGGGAAGAAAAGCCUACGGAUAACACCCGUGGGUAUUGACGGUACCGGCGGAAUAAGCACCGGCUAACUACGUGCCAGCAGCCGCGGUAAUACGUAGGGUGCGAGCGUUAAUCGGAAUUACUGGGCGUAAAGCGUGCGCACGCGGUUCGUUGUGUC
RNAcentral lists this ribosomal RNA (585 nucleotides) under uncultured bacterium. Its description in RNAcentral is "bacterial SSU rRNA". It matches the Rfam family "Bacterial small subunit ribosomal RNA", at positions 9 to 589 of the family's 1533-position model. The record is from RNAcentral.